AUAACGGUCCUAAGGUAGCGAAAUUCCUUGUCGGGUAAGUUCCGACCUGCACGAAAGGUGUAAUGAUCUGAGCGCUGUCUUGGCGGGAGGCCUGGUGAAAUUGUAUUACCGGUGAAGAUACCGGUUACCUGCAGUAGGACGGAAAGACCCCAUGGAGCUUUACUGUAGCUUGGUAUUGGGUUUCGGUGUCAUAUGUAUAGGAUAGUUGGGAGGCUACGAAGUAUGUCCGUCAGGAUAUAUGGAGCCGCUGGUGGAAUACCAACCAUAUUACACUGGAAUUCUAAUUUGAGGUUUGUAGCCUUGAAGACAGUGCUAGGUGGGCAGUUUGACUGGGGCGGUCGCCUCCGAAAGAGUAACGGAGGCGCCCAAAGGUUCCCUCAGGUUGGAUGGAAAUCAACCGCAGAGUGUAAUGGCAGAAGGGAGCUUAACUGCGAGACUGACGGGUCGAGCAGGUGCGAAAGCAGGGCAUAGUGAUCCGGCGAUUCCGAAUGGAAGGGUCGUCGCUCAACGGAUAAAAGCUACCCUGGGGAUAACAGGCUGAUUUUGCCCGAGAGUCCAUAUCGACGGCAAAGUUUGGCACCUCGAUGUCGGCUCAUCUCAUCCUGGGGCUGGAGAAGGUCCCAAGGGUUGGGCUGUUCGCCCAUUAAAGAGGUACGUGAGCUGGGUUCAGAACGUCGUGAGACAGUUCGGUCCCUAUCCACUGCAGGCGUAAGAGUAUUGAAAAGAUCUGUCCUUAGUACGAGAGGACCGGGAUGGACAAACCUCUGAUGUACCAGUUGUCACGCCAGUGGCACAGCUGGGUAGUCACGUUUGGACUAGAUAACCGCUGAAAGCAUCUAAGCGGGAAACUGACUUUGAGAUAAGUACUCUAUAGACAACUUCGAGACUAGGAGUUUGAUAGGUUGGGAGUGUAAGUGAAGCAAUUCAUUUAGCGGACCAAUACUAAUAA
This 949-nucleotide ribosomal RNA is filed under the name gut metagenome. RNAcentral describes it as "bacterial LSU rRNA". It matches the Rfam family "Bacterial large subunit ribosomal RNA", at positions 1942 to 2907 of the family's 2925-position model. The record is from RNAcentral.